This is a long non-coding RNA of Prunus dulcis (almond), 876 nucleotides long. RefSeq lists it as uncharacterized. Lineage: Eukaryota; Viridiplantae; Streptophyta; Magnoliopsida; Rosales; Rosaceae. The transcript is spliced from 2 exons. The record is from RefSeq and is a predicted model, not a curated record.
UGAGACUGUAUAGUCCUAGGGGGAAAAAAUGGCUCGGUCGCCAUUCUAAUAUAGUGAUGCAAAAAAUUGGUUCGCAAAAUAGCUCUCUCGCUUAAUAGAACAAGCGAGUCCGACACAGCGCAAACCGGUUUCUUCUUCUUCUUCACCUGUGUCGUAAUAUCUUGGUGCAGCGUGUAUCGACUCUGCCACACAAUCCUACCAUUGACCUUCACAAUGGAAUUGAUUUCAGGAAUGAUAAGUAAUUGAAAUAUUUCUCCAUUCUGAGGGUGCCAUCCAUGUGGGUCUUGAUUGCAGGAGUGAAUUUCUUGUUUCUGAUGAUGCUUUCAGGCCACCUGAAAUUACAAAGCCUAUGAAUGUUGUGAACAACAUGGUCAUCAACCAAUUGAGCGAAUCUGUUUGUACUUGAAGUGGGCUUUGUGGUUUUUCAAUCGUGGAUAUCAGCGACAUCGCAGAUUCCUGAACCCAAAUGCACGAAAGAUUUGGGUUUCGGGGCUUAAUGCUUCUGGUGUUGUGCAAGAGUCCAUAGCACAACAUGCACUCCAACUGUUCGCUAAAAUGUGGCACUUAGUUGUGUUAUGCAAUGGGGUGGUAAUGCAAUUCUUGAUUUUGAUUUGGGCUACCACAUGAGCAUUCGAGACAAAGGUAGUGAUGAGUUUCUCAAGAGUUGCUUCAUUGGAGGACUAAUGACAUGCUUCGUCAUUGGUUUGGCACCAAAAACAUACCAAAUUUUAGUCUUGUUUGCGGUUGUGUUGAGUAGUCUAGCUUAUCUAUUGGAUAACUUGUCCCCUGUUUUGUAAUAAAUAGAUGCAAGACCAAAUUUCUGGAUUUUUCAUGUAUCUCAUGGUGCCAAAUUUAAUUUCAUGGUCCAAAUUGCUA